AGUCUUAUGCCCAUGUCUGGAACUGGAGUGGGAUCGGCCACAUUGAAAGAACACAGCCUGAGGGCAGGGAAGCUAUUGAGCCCCAGAGAGAAGUUAAAGUACUUUUCAUGAAAGGAUUGGUUACUUGCACUACAGCAAAUUUACAACCAGCAAAAUAGACUAGAAACAAGCUACUUGUUGAUGAAGGAUCUGGACCAAGAUAGGAUUAGUGAAUAUCUCAAGAACAAUCAAGAAUGUAAGAAAAUAUCAUUGUCUGUUAAGACCCCAUCGCAGAGAAGUUAAAGAGCUUCAAUCACCAUGCUUUCAGGGUCAAUUUGUCUCCGAAAAGGAACAGAUGGGGAAGAAUUAUUCCAUUCACAGUUGACUUGUCAGAAAUUCCAAGAUCUUGGACUGGCUGAAAGCAAUGAUGUUGCCAUUCAUCCUUUCACGUAUUCAUUAUGGUCUACAGCUGAGAAGGGCUAUUUGGGGUUUGCUUUGCCUGAUGGUAGCAGAAGAAAACCAAGAGGCCUCUCUACGAAAGCUUGCAGUAAGGAGAAAGUUCUGGAGACUGGGAAGAGCAACACAAAGAUAUUCAGUUGCUUGGUGAGAGCUGCUCUCUGCUUCCAAGGCGGCACCUUGUUGCUGCAUUCUCCAAUGGGAAGGAACGCUGGGUCCUCACAUGACAGAAGGUGGAAAGGAUGUAAUGAAGUUAUUCCGAGAGUUAGCACCUCUGUAUGCUCAGGAUCUCUGUCCAGUGAAUCCCUUGCCAUUCUAAUGCAGAGAUCUGGGAACCUGAUGUGGGAAGAAAUCUCAUCUGUGACCACGAUUUUGUCAGGAGUCACGGGAUUCUAUAGCUGCAGCAAACCUGGAGCAAACUGGUCCCCACCAAUCUGGGAAAGAGGCUGAAUAUGUAAUUGCACUCCUUUGGGGAAGCACAUUCUGAAUUCUGCCAGCAGGAAGCUCCUCUCUUCAAUAGAUCUUGAUGAAAGAUUCCAUCACAAAUCCCAUUACUUCAACCAGGCAAUUAUCUCUCAAGAACCAAAGGAGGAAUCCUCUUUUUUUUUCCCCCUUUUCUUGGUGUGUGUGAGCAUGUAUGUGAUCUUUUUCUACAAUACAUAGUAUUUCAACCA
Molecule: long non-coding RNA, 1109 nt
Organism: Homo sapiens (human)
Lineage: Eukaryota; Metazoa; Chordata; Mammalia; Primates; Hominidae
Product: long intergenic non-protein coding RNA 1435
Source: Ensembl